This 300-nucleotide ribosomal RNA is filed under the name Klebsiella aerogenes. RNAcentral describes it as "bacterial LSU rRNA". It matches the Rfam family "Bacterial large subunit ribosomal RNA", at positions 2631 to 2925 of the family's 2925-position model. Lineage: Bacteria; Pseudomonadati; Pseudomonadota; Gammaproteobacteria; Enterobacterales; Enterobacteriaceae. The record is from RNAcentral.
UCGGUCCCUAUCUGCCGUGGGCGCUGGAGAAUUGAGGGGGGCUGCUCCUAGUACGAGAGGACCGGAGUGGACGCAUCACUGGUGUUCGGGUUGUCAUGCCAAUGGCAUUGCCCGGUAGCUAAAUGCGGAAGAGAUAAGUGCUGAAAGCAUCUAAGCACGAAACUUGCCCCGAGAUGAGUUCUCCCUGAGACUAUAAGUCUCCUGAAGGAACGUUAAAGACGAUGACGUUGAUAGGUCGGGUGUGUAAGCGUAGCGAUACGUUGAGCUAACCGAUACUAAUGAACCGUGAGGCUUAACCUU